UACGGAGGAUGCGAGCGUUAUCCGGAUUUAUUGGGUUUAAAGGGUGCGUAGGCGGCUUUUUAAGUCAGCGGUGAAAUUUUGCAGCUUAACUGUAACAGUGCCGUUGAUACUGGGGAGCUAGGAUUUGGUUGCUGUGGGUGGAAUGUGUGGUGUAGCGGUGAAAUGCUUAGAUAUCACGAGGAACUCCGAUUGCGCAGGCAGCUUACUAAACUACUACUGACGCUCAGGCACGAAGGCGUGGGGAUCAAACAGGAUUAGAUACCCCUGUA
This 269-nucleotide ribosomal RNA is filed under the name uncultured prokaryote. RNAcentral describes it as "partial 16S ribosomal RNA". It matches the Rfam family "Bacterial small subunit ribosomal RNA", at positions 524 to 792 of the family's 1533-position model. The record is from RNAcentral.